GACGAACGCUGGCGGCGUGCCUAAUACAUGCCAGUUGAGCGCUGAAGGUUGGUACUUGUACCAACUGGAUGAGCAGCGAACGGGUGAGUAACGCGUGGGGAAUCUGCCUUUGAGCGGGGGACAACAUUUGGAAACGAAUGCUAAUACCGCAUAAAAACUUUAAACACAAGUUUUAAGUUUGAAAGAUGCAAUUGCAUCACUCAAAGAUGAUCCCGCGUUGUAUUAGCUAGUUGGUGAGGUAAAGGCUCACCAAGGCGAUGAUACAUAGCCGACCUGAGAGGGUGGUCGGCCACAGUGGGACUGAGACACGGCCCAAACUCCUACGGGGGGCAGCAGUAGGGAAUCUUCGGCAAUGGACGAAAGUCUGACCGAGCAACGCCGCGUGAGUGAAGAAGGUUUUCGGAUCGGAAAACUCUGUUGGUAGAGAAGAACGUUGGUGAGAGUGGAAAGCUCAUCAAGUGACGGUAACUACCCAGAAAGGGACGGCUAACUACGUG
Molecule: ribosomal RNA, 497 nt
Filed under: uncultured bacterium
Lineage: Bacteria
Description: partial 16S ribosomal RNA
Rfam family: Bacterial small subunit ribosomal RNA
Source: RNAcentral